RNAcentral lists this ribosomal RNA (253 nucleotides) under uncultured bacterium. RNAcentral describes it as "partial 16S ribosomal RNA". It matches the Rfam family "Bacterial small subunit ribosomal RNA", at positions 524 to 776 of the family's 1533-position model. The record is from RNAcentral.
UACGGAGGGAGCUAGCGUUGUUCGGAAAUACUGGGCGUAAAGCGCACGUAGGCGGCCAAGUAAGUCAGGGGUGAAAUCCCGGGGCUCAACCCCGGAACUGCCCUUGAAACUGCUAGGCUAGAAUCUUGGAGAGGCGAGUGGAAUUCCGAGUGUAGAGGUGAAAUUCGUAGAUAUUCGGAAGAACACCAGUGGCGAAGGCGACUCGCUGGACAAGUAUUGACGCUGAGGUGCGAAAGCGUGGGGAGCAAACAGG